RNAcentral lists this non-coding RNA (23 nucleotides) under Arabidopsis thaliana (thale cress). The record is from RNAcentral. Lineage: Eukaryota; Viridiplantae; Streptophyta; Magnoliopsida; Brassicales; Brassicaceae.
CUACCAAUCCUACAAAUCACCAC